GCGGACGUAGCUCAGUUGGUAGAGCGCUAGCUUCCCAAGCUGGAGGUCGCGGGUUCGAGACCCGUCGUCCGCUCCA
Molecule: transfer RNA, 76 nt
Filed under: bacterium
Lineage: Bacteria
Description: tRNA-Gly
Rfam family: tRNA
About the family: Transfer RNA (tRNA) molecules are approximately 80 nucleotides in length. Their secondary structure includes four short double-helical elements and three loops (D, anti-codon, and T loops).
Source: RNAcentral